Small nuclear RNA from Lycium barbarum (goji berry), 98 nucleotides. The record is from RefSeq and is a predicted model, not a curated record. NCBI's taxonomy places the organism in Eukaryota, Viridiplantae, Streptophyta, Magnoliopsida, Solanales, Solanaceae.
GUCCUUUUGGGAACAUCUGAGAAAAUUGAAACAAUAUAGAGAACAUUAGCAUGACCUUUGUACCAACAUGCACAAUCCGAGAAAUGUUUAAAAAAAAA